This 253-nucleotide ribosomal RNA is filed under the name uncultured bacterium. RNAcentral describes it as "partial 16S ribosomal RNA". It matches the Rfam family "Bacterial small subunit ribosomal RNA", at positions 524 to 776 of the family's 1533-position model. The record is from RNAcentral.
UACGGAGGGAGCUAGCGUUGCUCGGAAUUAUUGGGCGUAAAGCGCGCGUAGGCGGUUACUUAAGUCGGAUGUGAAAGCCCUCGGCUUAACUGAGGAAGUGCACCCGAAACUGAGUAGCUAGAGUACGAAAGAGGGUCGCGGAAUUCCCGGUGUAGAGGUGAAAUUCGUAGAUAUCGGGAGGAACACCGGUGGCGAAGGCGGCGACCUGGGUCGAGACUGACGCUGAGGCGCGAAAGCGUGGGGAGCAAACAGG